CUUUACGGGCGGCAGUGGUGAGGAGGCUUCGGCCUGCCGGUUACCUUCUUGCCGGUCUGCAAACCUUGUCACUUGUCGCCCACCUCG
RNAcentral lists this non-coding RNA (87 nucleotides) under Herbaspirillum sp. Sphag64. The record is from RNAcentral. RNAcentral also lists the same sequence under 1 other name. Lineage: Bacteria; Pseudomonadati; Pseudomonadota; Betaproteobacteria; Burkholderiales; Oxalobacteraceae.